AAAACUCCGUAAAAUAUAUAAGGCGACUAAUAAAGUCAUCGAUAAAAUUAUCUACGAUUUGAAUUUGAAGUCAUUCGUGUCAAAACUAGAAGGGGAAUUAAAAAAAGAAUUUGACAGAUCCGCGUGCGGAAUACGAAAAAGGACGCUUAUCAUCAAUUUUUCCGGUCUUGAUGAAACUAUAAACUUAUUUCUUACGAAAAAUAUAUAUCUAAUAAGGCAAAUAAUAAUAAUGUUCCUGGUCACGGAUUAUUAUGAAAUGAGCGAUGAUAAUAGUAAUAAUAGUGAUAAUAGUGAUAAUAGUAA
Pogonomyrmex barbatus (red harvester ant) is the source of this 303-nucleotide long non-coding RNA. NCBI's taxonomy places the organism in Eukaryota, Metazoa, Arthropoda, Insecta, Hymenoptera, Formicidae. The record is from RefSeq and is a predicted model, not a curated record.